Molecule: long non-coding RNA, 118 nt
Organism: Amphimedon queenslandica
Lineage: Eukaryota; Metazoa; Porifera; Demospongiae; Haplosclerida; Niphatidae
Exons: 2
Source: RefSeq, a predicted model, not a curated record
CCACAAAGACUGUGGACAAGGUAUGGAGAAUGGGAUGAUGAAGAGCUUGAAGAUGAAGCAUUCUUCUGUGCUGAUUGCCAUAGUUUCAUUCAUAUAAUCCAAGAUAUCCAGCAUUUAA